CUAUAUGCCUUCCCCACCCCCUUCUAACAAUGGAUCAAACAGUUACACUUAAAUAUCCACCACAGAGCUAUACAGCCAGCCAUAAGACCCAUACUGAGACACACAAACACUCAAGUUAGGUAGGGUUGAACAUUAUGAGGUAGGCCUAUCACUUCUAGAAAGGAACGCAUCCCUUGUUUCCUGAACGGCAAGGGAGCCAAGAGGAGCUUGUAAGAGUUCUAUAAAGAGC
This is a non-coding RNA of Pelobates cultripes (western spadefoot toad), 229 nucleotides long. The record is from the annotation of a GenBank genome assembly. Lineage: Eukaryota; Metazoa; Chordata; Amphibia; Anura; Pelobatidae.